This 71-nucleotide small nucleolar RNA is filed under the name Loxodonta africana (African savanna elephant). RNAcentral's name for it is "Small nucleolar RNA SNORD112 (ENSLAFG00000033160.1)". The record is from RNAcentral. Lineage: Eukaryota; Metazoa; Chordata; Mammalia; Proboscidea; Elephantidae.
UGGACAAGUGAUGUCAGUGUAUCCUGAACCAAGGGUUGUGAUUAAUCCAGUUCUGUCAGCUGAGUUCCCAU